This is a long non-coding RNA of Gymnodraco acuticeps, 786 nucleotides long. RefSeq lists it as uncharacterized. The transcript is spliced from 3 exons. The record is from RefSeq and is a predicted model, not a curated record. Lineage: Eukaryota; Metazoa; Chordata; Actinopteri; Perciformes; Bathydraconidae.
AUCGUUUUGGCCAGUCUAAGGCGGUGGAGGUGUACCGUCUGAUCACUAGAAACUAUGAGAGGGAAAUGCUGGAUAAAGCUAGUCUGAAGCUCGGGCUGGACCGUGCCGUCCUGCAGAGCAUGAGUGGGAACAACAACGGGCCGGUCCAGCAGUUCUCCAAGAAGGAGAUCGAGGACCUGCUGAGGAAAGGAGCCUACGCCGCCAUCAUGGACGAGAACGACGAAGGCAAUCGCUUCUGCUAGGAGGACAUCGACCAGAUCCUGCAGCGAAGAGCCACCAUCAACACUAUCACCAGUGGCUGCACGAGAAAGACGUGGAGGACCAAGAAAUGCUGGCCAGAUUGGCAAAGACCGGAAGAUACAUAACAGAGAAGAUAAUGGAUAUUAACAAGAAAAAUAAAAAAAAUGUUUAUAAUUUCUUUGUUGCUGUUUACAUUUUGAAUUAUAUUUGUUAUUUUUAAAUCAAAUGCAUCUUUUUUAGAUGAUAUAUUUAUUUAGAUGUAGGUUUUUUUUGUAAUAUUAUUGUAUUAAGUAUAAUUUAUUAAAUAAAAAUACUGUUAUGAACACUAUACAAUGUCUUUAUUUUGAUAGUUACCAGAAUACAUUGUAUAUUUAAUACUAACAUAAGCUGGUGAUAGAUAAAUGCUGGUAUGCUGGUAUGCCAGCAGACAAAUAUUUAUAAAGACAGGGUAUGGCUGGGGUAGGCUACACCCAUACCAAGAAAUGGCUUAGCCCCACCAUGAAAAAUGAUGUUAAAGUAAGCAAAAUAAAGUCCGCCAACUGGCGC